UGGCUCAGGACGAACGCUGGCGGCGUGCUUAACACAUGCAAGUCGAACGGUGACCCUCGGAGCUUGCUUCGGGGUGAACAGUGGCGAACGGGUGAGUAACACGUGAGUAACCUGCCCCUGACUCUGGAAUAAGCGCUGGAAACGGCGUCUAAUACCGGAUAUGACACACCCUCGCAUGGGGAGUGUGUGGAAAGUUUUUCGGUCUGGGAUGGACUCGCGGCCUAUCAGCUUGUUGGUGAGGUAAUGGCUCACCAAGGCGAUGACGGGUAGCCGGCCUGAGAGGGCGACCGGCCACACUGGGACUGAGACACGGCCCAGACUCCUACGGGAGGCAGCAGUGGGGAAUAUUGCACAAUGGGCGAAAGCCUGAUGCAGCGACGCCGCGUGAGGGAUGACGGCCUUCGGGUUGUAAACCUCUUUCAGCAGGGAAGAAGCGAAAGUGACGGUACCUGCAGAAGAAGCACCGGCUAACUACGUGCCAGCAGCCGCGGUAAUACGUAGGGUGCGAGCGUUGUCCG
This 518-nucleotide ribosomal RNA is filed under the name Knoellia flava. Its description in RNAcentral is "bacterial SSU rRNA". It matches the Rfam family "Bacterial small subunit ribosomal RNA", at positions 20 to 547 of the family's 1533-position model. Lineage: Bacteria; Bacillati; Actinomycetota; Actinomycetes; Micrococcales; Intrasporangiaceae. The record is from RNAcentral.